Molecule: ribosomal RNA, 490 nt
Filed under: uncultured bacterium
Lineage: Bacteria
Description: partial 16S ribosomal RNA
Rfam family: Bacterial small subunit ribosomal RNA
Source: RNAcentral
AGUGAACGCUGGCGGCAGGCCUAAUACAUGCAAGUCGAACGGCAGCACAGUGGAGCUUGCUCCAUGGGUGGCGAGUGGCGGACGUGUGAGGCAUACAUGGGAAUCUGCCCAGUCGUGGGGGAUAACUUAGGGAAACUUACGCUAAUACCGCAUGCGCCCUUCGGGGGAAAGCCGGGGACCUUCGGGCCUGGCGCGUUUGGAUGAGCCCAUGUUCGAUUAGCUAGUUGGCGGGGUAAAGGCCCACCAAGGCGACGAUCGAUAGCUGGUCUGAGAGGAUGAUCAGCCACACUGGGACUGAGACACGGCCCAGACUCCUACGGGAGGUAGCAGUAGGGAAUAUUGGACAAUGGGCGCAAGCCUGAUCCAGCCAUGCCGCGUGAGUGAAGAAGGCCCUCGGGUUGUAAAGCUCUUUUGUCCGGGAAGAAAAGCAUCGGGCUAAUACCUCGGUGUUCUGACGGUACCGGAAGAAUAAGCACCGGCUAACUUCGUG